This 502-nucleotide ribosomal RNA is filed under the name uncultured bacterium. RNAcentral describes it as "partial 16S ribosomal RNA". It matches the Rfam family "Bacterial small subunit ribosomal RNA", at positions 28 to 507 of the family's 1533-position model. The record is from RNAcentral.
GACGAACGCUGGCGGCGUGCCUAAUACAUGCAAGUCGAACGAACCGCGACUAAGUGCUUGCACUAAGUCAAGGUGAGUGGCGAACGGGUGAGUAACACGUGGGUAACCUACCUCAUAGUGGGGGAUAACAGUCGGAAACGACUGCUAAUACCGCAUAGGACAUAGGAUCACAUGAUCCAGUGAGGAAAGGUGGCGCAAGCUAUCGCUAAGAGAUGGACCCGCGGUGCAUUAGCUAGUUGGUAGGGUAAAGGCCUACCAAGGCGAUGAUGCAUAGCCGACCUGAGCGGGUGAUCGGCCACAUUGGGACUGAGACACGGCCCAAACUCCUACGGGAGGCAGCAGUAGGGAAUCUUCCGCAAUGGACGCAAGUCUGACGGAGCAACGCCGCGUGAGUGAAGAAGGUCUUCGGAUCGUAAAGCUCUGUUGUUAGAGAAGAACAGCGCAUAGAGUAACUGCUAUGCGUGUGACGGUAUCUAACCAGAAAGCCACGGCUAACUACGUG